Molecule: long non-coding RNA, 1647 nt
Organism: Triticum aestivum (bread wheat)
Lineage: Eukaryota; Viridiplantae; Streptophyta; Magnoliopsida; Poales; Poaceae
Exons: 4
Source: RefSeq, a predicted model, not a curated record
GCCCUUAUGUGAAAUUGUAUUAAAUUGCUUUGAUGCUAAUGCAUGACAUUUGAUACUUGACAACCUUGGAUAUUUACUGAGAUAAAAGAACAUAGGGACUGGGAUAUCACAUCUGGUGAGAGAUUGAGUAUUCUAAAAGAUUUUAUGCGUUUCGGUCUCGAACACUCGGGCUCUGACACCAAAGGUGAGUCCUCUCAUCUCUGAGAGUAUGUAGAAAUCGUGACAUUUUCUUUGUCAUUUUUUCAUGGGGAGGGUGUGAUUAUUGAAAACUCAUGUUGGGUGUGAUAUUGUACAACAAGGAAGAAGCUUUUCACUAGUUGAAGACAGAAGGUCUAGCCUGUCUCACCGUGAUGUAGAAUUGGUGUUUAAUGGGGCAUUACCAAGCUUUGAAUAAAAACUAAUUUUGCUUUCUUGGCAAGGACUCUCGGAGGGAAGGAGCUUCAUGUUGUGAACAUUGUUAUUUUCAAUACAUAACUUUUUGUUGGUUAGCUGACAUUUUUUGAUAAAGAAAUAGUCUAAUGUUGUUUAUGAUGCAUGAGUUACUUUUAGUGGAGCUGAUCCGUUAAGAGUAUUUGUGAAGGCUUUGGAGUUGGCAAUCUGAGCAGCCUGUAUGAUAAAUGGAAGUGUGUGCGUUCAUCCAAAGCAUUCACAGAACAAAUCUUCAUUUUGGCUACUGCAGAGUGCAGAGAACGAAAUCUUUUACCUGAUUAAUUGGAGGUUUGCUACAUGCUACAUAUGUCUUAUUAACUGGCAGUUAGUCAGCUUCUAUUCCAGUGCUGAGAAAUGGCACAAUUAUCUCAUGCCAUUUCAUGGGAGCAGCAGAAGUGGCAUAGAUGCAAUGGUGUGAAGCAAAAAACUAUUCAGUUCCAUAAAUAUGCACUUCCCAAGUUCCUUAUGCAAAUGAAAUGGCACACUUUUUCUUAUGCCCUCAUAUAGUGUGAAAAUUGAAGAUUAAAGAGUGAACGAUAGCAUGAUAUAACUCAAGUUCAUUGUAGUUGUAAAAAAUUCGUACGGGAGCAAGUAUUGCGAUCACAAUUACAGACAAGAUUCCUAAGUGCUUGACAAUGUGAGUGCUCGAGACCUAUGACUUCGAAUAAAUUUGACCUAUGGGUGACAUGAACAUCUGCGGUAAGAACGACAAUGUGAUGCUCAUGGAAGUUGAGGUCAAGGAAGUGAAUACACCGAUGAUGCAUCAAUAGAUGUAUAAAUUGUGCUUGCAUGAGCAUAUUGUGGUAACAACGGGGAGGUGAUCAAGAGCAUCAACAACCUCUUUACCGGGAUCUUUCUCGCCGCAACUAAAAACAACAGUUAUUACCAGCUUGUGGGGUAGCUCCUGGGGCGUUGGAACCUUGUUGAGAAGAAGAACAAACUGUUAAUGGAGUUGUUCAACGAGGACGAGAGGAGCGGCCACAGCAAGGAUCAAAAGAAGGCAGAGUUCGACUCCACUAGCUGCCAACUCCGACGGGGGGAGGAGAAGAAAAAAAGGAUUGAUUUAAUGGUGAAAGAAACUUGAAAGCUUGUAUUAACUAUUAAAUUAUAUGUGCCCCCGUUGCAACACACGUUAGAUUAGUACACUGUCAUAUUUUCAGAAAAUUGCAGAACUAGCGAUACACCUGUCUCACAAAUAUUACGCCGAUUGUUCAGUAC